UACGUAGGGCGCAAGCGUUGUCCGGAAUCAUUGGGCGUAAAGAGCUCGUAGGUGGUUUGUUACGUCUGCUGUGAAAACCUAGGGCUUAACCCUGGGCCUGCAGUGGAUACGGGCAGACUAGAGGUAGGUAGGGGAGAAUGGAAUUCCCGGUGUAGCGGUGAAAUGCGCAGAUAUCGGGAGGAACACCGGUGGCGAAGGCGGUUCUCUGGGCCUUACCUGACACUGAGGAGCGAAAGCGUGGGGAG
This 245-nucleotide ribosomal RNA is filed under the name uncultured bacterium. RNAcentral describes it as "partial 16S ribosomal RNA". It matches the Rfam family "Bacterial small subunit ribosomal RNA", at positions 524 to 768 of the family's 1533-position model. The record is from RNAcentral.